This 438-nucleotide ribosomal RNA is filed under the name uncultured bacterium. RNAcentral's name for it is "bacterial SSU rRNA". It matches the Rfam family "Bacterial small subunit ribosomal RNA", at positions 28 to 480 of the family's 1533-position model. The record is from RNAcentral.
GAUUAACGCUAGCGGCAGGCCUAAUACAUGCAAGUCGAACGGCAGCACGGGUAGCAAUACCUGGUGGCGAGUGGCGCACGGGUGCGUAACGCGUAUGCAAUCUACCUGUAACUGGGGAAUAGCCUUCCGAAAGGAAGAUUAAAACCGCAUAAUAUCACGAGACGGCAUCGUUUUGUGAUCAAAUCUCCGGAGGUUACAGAUGAGCAUGCGUGACAUUAGCAGUUGGUGAGGUAACGGCUCACCAAGGCGACGAUGUCUAGGGGGUCUGAGAGGAUGAUCAGCCACAUUGGGACUGAGACACGGCCCAAACUCCUACGGGAGGCAGCAGUGGGGAAUAUUGGACAAUGGGCGCAAGCCUGAUCCAGCCAUGCCGCGUGAGUGAUGGAAGGCCCUAGGGUUGUAAAGCUUCUUUUGUGCGGGAAGAUAAUGACGGUACCG